CGUCGCGGGCGCCCGCCUCGUCGGUGUUUGUGCCAACAAAAAUCCAAAAAAAACGGGCAUAUAAAUUACCGUUGGAUCGAGGCAAAGAAUGCGCCAUCGCUGCGCAAAACUAGUCGGCGAGUGCGUCGGACCUGCGGCCCGAUCCUUGCGAUGGCGUGCACGAUGAUUGUAUCGUGAUCGACCAAGGAAAAUACGACCCUCUAGACCGACAUUUCCCCGUCCAUCAUUCCUUUUCGGUCUCUUUUUUUUUACUUUUUUUUAUUGCAUACUGGAUUUUUAUUUUUUUUUUGCGCGCGUACAGCCUUUGUGCGCAGGGACAAAGUCAGACGAAAAAAAGGACAGGGACGGCUGUGCCGGCGGGGGAUCACGGCGGCAAGGCGCCGCGCUUGGCGAGUUGGGCCAGCACCUCGACCGACGGAAAGUACCAGUAGUUGCCGGUGGUCGGCGUGGAAAAGCGCAUGAUCGCGUCGGGCACGGCAUGAGGCGCGCCGGCCAUGCCGGGACCAGAGCCCACCAUCGAACGGCACAUGGCGUCAAGAUGAUGGGUGUCGCCUGCAUAGGCAACGAACAAGAGGCCCGCCUCGCCUGCCGGGUCACCCCACGGCAUGGCCUGACGCACGAUAAAGUAGCCCAGGGCGCUCUGGCGCACGCGCGCCACAUGGGACGACGGCGCCUGGUGCGGCAGCGGCGCCGACUGGGCCUUGGUGCGGCCAAAGACGGCCUCUUGCAUGGAUUGAUUGAGGCCGCGAAAGGCCGCGAGAUCGUGGCGCCACACCUGCGCGAUCGCAUAGGACCCGUUGACGUGCGCUGGGUCCACUGCGGCGCCGAUGAGACCGGCGGCCGCCCUCUGGCCUGAUGGCGCGUUGACCGUGCCGUCGACAAACCCGGUGAGAUCGCGGUUCUGGCCGUCCAGGGCGUUGGUCCACGCGUCCACCGUCUCGACGCCGAGGACGGCAUCGGCUCCCAAUUCUCGAACGACGAGGUCGACCAGCGCGUAGAGGACGUCGCGCCGCGCGGCCUUGACGUGGACAAAGAGGUCGCCCCCGGUGGCGGGCAUGCGCGGCCACCCGCCGACGCCCUCGUAGCCGGGAAAGGCCAGGAUGCCGACGGGCGCCGGCAGAAAGGUGCCCCAGCGCGCCCACAGCGCCGGCGAGAGGCCGAUGCCCGCCACGAGGCCACUGGCGCCGUCGCCCUGUGUUUUCGUGGCCACGGCGGCGACGAGCGUCGAAAAGGAACCGACGACAGCGCGCGCGCGGGCCGAUACAACUGGGUCGUUCCAGGCCGCAGGAGUCAGGUGGAUCGUCGUCCCGACAGCGUUGCGAUCCAGUCCACUGAGGACGCUUCCUUGUGGGUGUACCUGGCACCCAGCGUUGAUGACGAGGGUCGCCAAGAUGGCGGUGCACCAGAGAGCCCCGCCCAGCCGGGAUGACAUUGUCACUAUUGUGCAGGUGGCGAGAAAGAGAAAAAAGUCUUUAAGACGGCGGCCCUCUGCACGCGUCACGGGUAGAGAGAUCGCAACUUUUACUCUUGC
RNAcentral lists this long non-coding RNA (1531 nucleotides) under Pandoravirus dulcis. RNAcentral describes it as "putative ncRNA". The record is from RNAcentral.